Molecule: transfer RNA, 68 nt
Filed under: Nitrobacter vulgaris
Lineage: Bacteria; Pseudomonadati; Pseudomonadota; Alphaproteobacteria; Hyphomicrobiales; Nitrobacteraceae
Description: tRNA-Lys
Source: RNAcentral
GAUAGUUCCGUUGUCGCAGCUGACUCUUAAUCAGCGGGUCGUAGGUUCGAGCCCUACAUCGCCCACCA